ACCCAUGGCUGCAGGCGGUUAAUUAACACCGCUAGAAGAGUGAAUCAAAAGCAAAAGUCCGAAUAGUUUCGAGCUAAACAGGACAUACUAAACAACAAGUGGGCAGUGGUGGGCCCUCUCUCCUGCGUGCGGUGGUUGGUCUUGUGUGCGACCUCGGUGGUGCGUGCGCAGCGGCGUUGCUCUGGCCUCCAAGGCGUCCUGUGCUCGGCGGUUGGUCGUCGCGUGGCCCUGUGCCCCCCUGGUUGCUGGGUGGGCCGGCGUCGGGCGCCCCUGCGCGGCGCGGGUGGUGGAUCUGGGCGGUUGCGCUCCCUGGUAUGUGUCGUGCGAGGCUGCGGCAUGCGGGGCCGAAUCCGGCAGGCCCCUGCCCGGAUCUGUUGGGUGGCGCCAGUUCCCUUGCUCCCUCGGCGGCAGAUCGGAUUUUCCCCAACUUGGCGUUCGCGUUCUCUCGGCGUGGUGGUGCUCUGCUCUGUAUUGCGCCUGGUUGUGCCUGGAGCUCCCCGGUGUGGUGCUGGCCGGCGUUGUGCCGUGCUACAUCGUUGACUGCAUCUUCCUCCACCUAUCGGCCUAAUGUGGUUGCACAGGUACCCCCUCAUGUGUCUCUGUUGUGGCGAUGCCUAUGCGACUACACUGGUGGCACACAGGUGUUGUGGCGUCGUCUCGGCUCAUGUAACCUUUCGAUUGCGCCCCACGACACAGGUGGUGUCGCGGCGUUGGGCAGUCUCGGAUGCGCGGCGCCUUUCGAUUACGUCGACGGUGCAGUGUCUUGGUUUGGUCUACUAGGUGAUGCUCUUUGGCCUUGUCGGUGGCACACAGGUGCCGUGGUGUCGUCUCGGCUCGUGUGUCCUUUCGAUUGCACCCCACGACAUAGGUGGUGUCGCGGCGUUGUGUACUCUUGGAUGUGAGGCGCCUUUUGAUUGCAUUGAUGGUUGGUCUCGGCUGGCCAAUGGCGUUCGACUACUUUGGCGGUGCUCUUAUUGUGUAGUCUGUUCUUUCCCUGUUUGUUUCUCUCCUGUAUUGUGUGUGUCUUUUUUUAUCUCUUCUUACGUGCCCCCUUGUAUUUCUGGUUCACUUGAACCUAUCUUGUAAUAGGCUGCAAAGCCUUAUAGGCAAUAUGAAUACAAUUCAGAUGGGGAAA
Long non-coding RNA from Triticum aestivum (bread wheat), 1135 nucleotides. RefSeq lists it as uncharacterized. The record is from RefSeq and is a predicted model, not a curated record. The transcript has 2 exons. NCBI's taxonomy places the organism in Eukaryota, Viridiplantae, Streptophyta, Magnoliopsida, Poales, Poaceae.